UUUUAAUAGAGAGUUUGAUCCUGGCUCAGGACGAACGCUGGCGGCGUGCCUAACACAUGCAAGUCGAGCGAUGAAAGAGAAAUGGAAUUCUUCGGAAUGAAAUUUUUCUGGAUUAGCGGCGAAC
Molecule: ribosomal RNA, 124 nt
Filed under: Tissierellia bacterium
Lineage: Bacteria; Bacillati; Bacillota; Tissierellia
Description: partial 16S ribosomal RNA
Rfam family: Bacterial small subunit ribosomal RNA
Source: RNAcentral